GGGAACUGUGCAGCACUAUCGUAGAAGCCUAAGUCUUGGCGUGAUCAGUUCGCGGAUAAAAAUGGAGUUUCAAAAGUCGUAUAAUUAUCCCAAAUUAAUGUUGGGUGCCGAACGCACCAAUAGCUGCAUAUGUGAUCGCAAGAGGGAAAAUGUUAUUGUCUGUAGCCGCUGCAAGCAGACGUUUGUAGGCCGCCUUUCGCAACGCUGCCCAAAACAUCCAGAAGUGACUUUUCUAAUGGACGCCCGUCAAUGCGCUUUCUGCGGAGCUCAUGCUAAUUUCUUGCAGGUCUCUGAGACUUAAAAGUAAUAUAAAUUUCCUAGCAAAGCAAGUGGUUUUCGUUGACGAAAACUGCAAUGUAACGUAGUCCGUACAUAAGGAAAUACAUAAACAUUGGGUAAUUGUAGCAAUACAUAAAUAAGCAGAGCUCUUUGUAAACUAUUUGUUUUAUUUGUAUGCUUUUUCAUUUGUAAUGGACGAAAUUGCGUUGUAUAGUUUUGGUCACUGAUCUGCGCUUUUAGAAGUGUCACGUUUCGCAACAC
Drosophila erecta is the source of this 540-nucleotide long non-coding RNA. RefSeq lists it as uncharacterized. NCBI's taxonomy places the organism in Eukaryota, Metazoa, Arthropoda, Insecta, Diptera, Drosophilidae. The record is from RefSeq and is a predicted model, not a curated record. The transcript has 2 exons.